GAUCAUGGCUCAGGAUGAACGCUGGCGGCGUGCCUAACACAUGCAAGUCGAACGGACUUACAUUGAAGCCUAGCGAUAUGUAAGUUAGUGGCGGACGGGUGAGUAACGCGUGGGCAACCUGCCUUGUACUGGGGGACAACAGUUGGAAACGACUGCUAAUACCGCAUAAGCGCACAGCUUCGCAUGAAGCGGUGUGAAAAACUCCGGUGGUACAAGAUGGACCCGCGUCUGAUUAG
This 236-nucleotide ribosomal RNA is filed under the name uncultured bacterium. RNAcentral's name for it is "partial 16S ribosomal RNA". It matches the Rfam family "Bacterial small subunit ribosomal RNA", at positions 15 to 244 of the family's 1533-position model. The record is from RNAcentral.